RNAcentral lists this unclassified non-coding RNA (188 nucleotides) under soil metagenome. RNAcentral describes it as "partial internal transcribed spacer 1". The record is from RNAcentral.
CAGAGUUGCAAAACUCCCACACACCAUCGCGAAUCUUACCCGUACGGUUGCCUCGGCGCUGGCGGUCCGGAAGGCCCUCGGGCCCCCCGGAUCCUCGGGUCUCCCGCUCGCGGGAGGCUGCCCGCCGGAGUGCCGAAACCAAACUCUUGAUAUUUUAUGUCUCUCUGAGUAAACUUUUAAAUAAGUCA